AUAUUCAUAUAACACACAUCCAUUAUAAAUAAAUAAAUAAUUACAUUAUACAAUUAUCAUAUAAUUAUCAUUUUAGCAUUGACCUCUAUUGUGUUUCUCGUUUAUCAUCCGAAUAAAGCCGAACAUUUCAAGCCUUUUUUUCGAGCUUUUCUCUAUCUCUCGUUUAUUUCUGCCCAAAUUGUCAUAAAUUUACUUCUGUUUUUAGUUGUUGUUUUUUUUUUCAUUAUUAAAUUUUUUUUUUGUGUGUUUUCAAAUUUGUGAUUUACAUAAUCAUCAAUCCUUGUAUGUGAUGUGAUGUAUUAAUAUAAAAUUUUUUUCCUUUUUUUGCAAUUAUUAAAGUGUUGUUAUUCUCGGCCAAUCACCUGUUUGUUUCAUAAUAAAGUUUUUUUUUAUAAUUUGAACAACGAAAAUAACAACAUAAUUAUCAACAUUCACAGAUUCUUGGCUUUUUUUCUGUGAUCAAAAUUUAUCCAUGAUUCCAUUCAUUGAAAAAAAUAUCAAAAUUUGCUGAUGAAAUCAUCAAAUCUUUUCGGUCUUCACUGUAUUGAUCUCGUCUCAAAAAAUCAUCUCCGAUUAUCAUUUUUUUCAUCCAUCAUUAUUAGCAAUCAUUAUAUAAGCAUUCUUUGUUCUUCUCACUUCAAGAAUUGAUUAAGAACC
Dermatophagoides pteronyssinus (European house dust mite) is the source of this 657-nucleotide long non-coding RNA. The record is from RefSeq and is a predicted model, not a curated record. Lineage: Eukaryota; Metazoa; Arthropoda; Arachnida; Sarcoptiformes; Pyroglyphidae.